ACUACUUUCGGUGGGUUUGUUUGGGUUUAGAUUCGUGUGAGUGUGAGAUAUUUGGGUUUCGUUAAACUCUCUCUCUCUUUCUCUCUCUAUUGAAUCAAGAGAGAGAAAAACGUUUAUGGCGGUUUUGUGAAGAUGACGAUGAUUCUCUCACUUCGCGGUCUCUAAUUCGCUUGGUGCAGGUCGGGAACCACUUCUUCGACAGUUUUCGUGCGGAAAUGACGGAACGGUCACCCGCGGAGAAUUGGAUCCCGCCUUGCAUCAACUGAAUCGGAGGCAGCGGUGAAUAUUUCUGUUCUUUUCCGGCGGAUUUAGAUCAGAUCUCUGCUCCGAGUUUCCACAAUCAGAUGUGAUGUUGGUAUAUAUAUGCAGGACGCAAUUCUUUCCUUCAAAGAGUAGUCUAUCAUAGUAUAAGUCAUACUAGUAUAUUUCUUGAAUUUCUUCAAUGUAUUAGUAUAUUUCUUAACUUUUUCAAUAUGUUCUAUAAGCAUAAUGCUUUUUGUUUCCUUUUUGAUAGAUGCAAACAGCUUGGCAGCUUGACAUUUUGACAGUAAAUGCAUAGUAAGCAGUUUAUUUGAGUACAAUAAGCUGUCGUCCUCUGCCCGUCUAAAUUUGUGAGAGGAAUUUAAGCACAUGUGAUGCCGGACAAUUGUGUGUAUAAGUAAAGAAAAAAAAUGGUUUACUCUUAUUUUGAGGGAAAAUGAGUGAUUUACUCAACUAACAAAACUCCCAAGUUGUCUGACCAAUUUAGGAUUGAUAUUUUCUCGUGUUUGGUUUAUUCUGAAAUUGGCUAAUCUGAGAUAUUGAUAUCGACUCUAUAUUUUCCAAAGUUUCAACAGGCCAAUUAUUUUUUCUUCUAUUCAUGAGAACAUUUUUCUUAGUGAAAAGAACUUGAAUUCUCUGGCAAAUUUUUAUAUUGUAAUGAACUUUGUUUUUCACCCUAUUUCCUCUCAUGAUUAUUAUGGCAAUUUUUGGGCAAAAUCAGUGUAAUUCAGUAUCUGUUUUAGGGUUCACCUGCAAAAGGAAAUAUUUUGUUAUCUUCAAUAACCCAUCAAUGUCAAAGUAUCUGCUUUGAAUUUUAGUUAUAUGGAAAGAACACUGAACUAGAUUCAGACAUGCAGGUUAAAACUUAACUGUUAGACAACCUGACCCACCUUUGCACCUUCAUUUCAAUGCACUGUUGCUGAACUCACUCUGUAUUUGUUGUGUACUGAUUUAUCUUAGUGUGUUAAUUUUCCUGUAACAGGUUUGGGAUUUAUCACUGAUCAAAUGAAUUGAUAAGCAACAACAAGUCCUUUAUUUUCUGAUGAAAUUAUUGACUUUAUCUCGUGAAAUCAUUUUGUAAAAUAAAAGCAAACAUUGAAAGGAGGGUGGAGAGAAAUAUACAUCUAAGCUUGAGAUUGGACACUUUCAUAUGCAAUCUGUGUCCUCAACUGUCCUUAUCCAGGGCAUAUAACCUAUUGUUGAGUACUUCUAGUUCUCUGCAAGAGAUGUUUUUAGAUUCCAUUUUGUAUAUUGUAAUGUAAUGCCAAAUUACCAACCUUGUAAUUUAUUUGCUAAGCAUGUUGAUGUUGUACACAUGUUGGUUAAGAAUCUGAAAUGAGUUAUUCUACUUCUUCAUAAGGGAACUGUCAUCAAAAUAGGCAAGAACUGUGAAAGAGCAGCAGGUACCUUGUUUUAGAAAAGUUCCAGAUGUCAACCUGCCCCACGGAACUGGAUCUCCUACAGUUAAAGAGAGUGCAUUCGGGGGCGGUAUAUAAUCUAAAGUUUUUAUUUUUAUCUGAAUGGUUAAAAGUUUCUAAGUUUUUAUUUA
Molecule: long non-coding RNA, 1810 nt
Organism: Cicer arietinum (chickpea)
Lineage: Eukaryota; Viridiplantae; Streptophyta; Magnoliopsida; Fabales; Fabaceae
Source: RefSeq, a predicted model, not a curated record